GCGGUCGUGGCCGUCACGCUGAACGGCCAGGUAUCGCCGUUCUGAUGGCUGACAUGGUCGCCGUCGGCCAGCACACCCAGCACGACAUCGUCGUCGUACAUGCCGGUGCCCAGCUUGUCCGCCCUGCCGUGCGCGAUCAGGCAGAUCCGGUCGGCCGGAUCCCCCGCCCGGAUGAUGACCUCGCCCGCGGCGAACUCCUGCUGCACGAACCGGUCGGCCAGCGCGGCCAGGGUCUCCUCGUCGUCGAAGUCGUGCAGCAGCGGCAACUCGCGCAAUUCCUGCGGGAUCACCCGGACCCGCGCGCCGACGUUGGUGAACUCGACACUGCCGUCGCCGACGGUGUAGGUCAGCCGCUGGUUCACGCGAUACGUGCCGCCCGCGACGGUCACCCACGGCAGCAUCUUCAGCAGCCAGCGCGGCGAGAUGCCUUGCAUCUGCGGCUCGGACUUGGUCGUCGUGGCCAGGUUGCGGGCAGCCUUGGUGCUCAGGCUGAGCUGAGCGUGCCCAUUCAGG
RNAcentral lists this antisense RNA (513 nucleotides) under Alloactinosynnema sp. L-07. RNAcentral's name for it is "Saccharopolyspora sRNA 350". It matches the Rfam family "Saccharopolyspora sRNA 350". Lineage: Bacteria; Bacillati; Actinomycetota; Actinomycetes; Pseudonocardiales; Pseudonocardiaceae. The record is from Rfam by way of RNAcentral.